UACGUAGGGGGCAAGCGUUGUCCGGAAUCAUUGGGCGUAAAGCGCGUGUAGGCGGUCCGGUAAGUCCGCUGUGAAAGUCGGGGGCUCAACCCUCGGAUGCCGGUGGAUACUGUCGGGCUUGAGUACGGAAGAGGCGAGUGGAAUUCCUGGUGUAGCGGUGAAAUGCGUAGAUACUGGGAGGAACACCGGUGGCGAAGGCGGCUACCUGGACCGGUUCUGACGCUGAUGCGCGAAAGCGUGGGUAGCAAACAGG
RNAcentral lists this ribosomal RNA (253 nucleotides) under uncultured bacterium. RNAcentral describes it as "partial 16S ribosomal RNA". It matches the Rfam family "Bacterial small subunit ribosomal RNA", at positions 524 to 776 of the family's 1533-position model. The record is from RNAcentral.